This is a long non-coding RNA of Zingiber officinale, 1136 nucleotides long. RefSeq lists it as uncharacterized. The transcript has 5 exons. NCBI's taxonomy places the organism in Eukaryota, Viridiplantae, Streptophyta, Magnoliopsida, Zingiberales, Zingiberaceae. The record is from RefSeq and is a predicted model, not a curated record.
UUUAAUUUUUUAAAAAAAUAAAAUAUUUUUUUAGUGAUAACGAAAAAUAUAUAUUUUUUUGGCUCAUUCAUUUCCCGCCACGAGGCUGCACUGCUAUACCGAAGGACGGAGAGAAGUCGGCGGCAAGAAUGGAGGGACAGCGAUGGAGAAGAGGAGUUCGUGUGAGGCGGGACGAAGGCUGCACCGGCGGGUGCAUCAAGUGCAGGAGUACGGAGCACUGGUCGCGCGACUGUCCUUCCUCUUCUUCAAACCCUAAUGAACCUAGCCCUAAUCUCGUCGCCACUCAGCCUCUCGGUAAGCCUUGGCGGCCACCAAGUCCUCCAUUAAGAAGGCUCCGAGAACGAGGCUCAAGCUCACCCCGCAGCUCUUGCACUCGGAGGAUGGCCUUGGUUAUGUGGUUCGCCAUUUCCCCCGCGCCUUCAAGUAUCGCGGCUGCGGCCAUGAAGUUGCUGAUCUUGGUAACUUGACUGGUCUUUAAGCACAGUGGCAUUCUCAGUUAAUCCCUUACUAUUCCUUUGAUGAAUUUGUUCGCAAGGUUGAGCAAGUUGGUGUGACUGCACGAGUUAGGAGAUGCAUAUCAUAAUUGAAGGAUAAAGUUGCCAAUGGUGGGGACCCCUCAAAGCUUCAUUAAUCCCCUAUUGAAGAAGUUGCUCCAGAAAUUGAACAAGAUGAUCACCAUUAUAGAUGAUCCAACUGCUGGAGAACCAGUUGCAGAUGCAGUAGAUCCAUUAUUUGACUCCAUUGAAACAGAUCACAUACAGGAGGAUGAGAUUUUCAAUGAGAUUUAUCACAAAGCUACUGAAGUUAGGUGAAUCUGCUGGAAGUACACAUUUUGCAAGUAUGAACACAAAAGUUUCGGAGAAUUGGUUUGCUUUCAUGAUAUGUUAAAUUUGUAUUGGAAUAUGGAGUAGGCCUUCUAGUCAUAUGUCAAUAUAACAAGAUUGAUAUGUAUGUGAUUAAAAUACAAAGCUUGUAACAAUGUAAACAGUUACAGGGGUCUCUCGAAGCGAUCUCUUGAAGAAGAAUGAUACUUGUCGUCAGAAGAGCCAUAAAUCAGAAAGCCCUUUGCACAUCCACGAAACAAAUCCCUCUCAUGGAUGUUCUCCUUUUCUCUCUAUAUUUCUCUCUUGCUUUUU